This is a long non-coding RNA of Dendroctonus ponderosae (mountain pine beetle), 338 nucleotides long. RefSeq lists it as uncharacterized. Lineage: Eukaryota; Metazoa; Arthropoda; Insecta; Coleoptera; Curculionidae. The transcript has 2 exons. The record is from RefSeq and is a predicted model, not a curated record.
UAAACAAUAGUACAGUUUAUUUUUGCUUCAAAUAUGUAUAUUUUGUCAAGCAAACGAUAAUAAAGUAAACACCAUUUCAAUGUAGAUUGCACUUGGGGCCCCGUGUAAAACAUAAGUCGGUAUGUUGUAAUAUUUUACAUACAUAUAUAGGGUGUCACCACAAGAGAUCGCUAUUUACAAUUAUUAGAUACCUACUCGAGCGCAGAAUUUAAUGUUGAAGCAAUAUUUCAGAAUAUAUAUACUUAGGUAUAAUGUAGGUACGUUCUUCCAUUUGUUCUAUAAAAGGUGCUGCAAGAUUUCAAGACAGGAAAGACCUAAAUAAAUAAAAUGGUUACCAA